This 200-nucleotide ribosomal RNA is filed under the name uncultured bacterium. RNAcentral's name for it is "partial 16S ribosomal RNA". The record is from RNAcentral.
GACGAACGCUGGCGGCGUGCUUAACACAUGCAAGUCGAGCGGUAAGGCCCUUUCGGGGUACGACAGCGGCGAACGGGUAGGAGUAACAACGUGGGUGGACCUCGCCCUUACGUCUCUGGGAGUAAAGCCUCGGGAAACGUAGGGUCGUAAUAACCGGACGUAUGACUCCAUGACGCAUGUUGUGGGGUGGGAAAGACCUU